AAGCCCGUGAGCUUUGGGGCCCGCUCCCCACUUUGGUGCUGUGUGGAUGGGGCCGUGAGGGAAGCUAACCCUGCUGCGGUUUCUCCUGGGGCACAGCAGCUCCCCCACAGGGCCCAAAGAUCACACUGAUGGGCACGAGCAAGUAUCUCAGAAUCGGAGAGCAGAGUGAGCCUUAUGAGUGUUCCCUCCCACCAUUCUCUAUACUCUGUUCACUCUUUGAAACUAGAGGAUUUGUUAAAGGUUCAUGAAACUUAGGAGGUGCAAUGUAGAUUAAUUCUUCAAUCAGGGACUCAGUUCCAAGACCUGGGUGAAAGGCACAGUAUGUGGGUGACAGCUGAUGCCCUGUGACCUGGAAACUUGGGACGAUUUGACCUCAACUGUGACCCUGGGGUACCAGGCCCACAGCAGCCAGGAGCAGAAGCUUCCACCCAAACGCAGAGCGGUGCAAUCUAUCUACCAGCGCCAGAACUGAGAACUAACAGAGAAUUGCCCACGUUUGGUUUGUUUGCCCAGACCUGAAAAUAAACUGGUCUCCAUGGAGCGAGGAUCUCAUAAAUAAACGUUUUGGAACCCUGCUUCGCCUGCUGUCGAAGGCUUGGAGACGCCUUAUAAGAAGCAUGCUCAAGAUGAUUUAAAAGUAAUCAAAUAGAAGCCUGAGCGACGGUUUUGUAUUAUUUUCUCGAGAAUCAGGGAAUACCAGAUGGCUGUAGGAACAACGGAUUCUGUAACUAUCCUCUUAUUUUUGUAGACAAUAAAUCAAAUUACUAGCACCCAUGAAUAUUUUGGCUCAAAAGCAGUAGCUUCCUUGCAGUAAUUAACCCUGGAGGGCUGGCACGGAGAUGGAGGAAUCAGUGGAACAGACAGAGAAUCCAGGUGCCGGCCUAUGUGCUACCUAUUAGGAUCUGAUAAAGAUGAUAUUUCGAGUCGCUGGGGAAAAGACAGAUGAAUCAACAGAUGUUACUGUCGGGAGGGGGAACGCGGUUAGAAAAAGCUGACGUGGGCCCCACACAGCAAUCUGGGUGCGUUAAAUAUCUAAACAUAUGCCAUGGAGUCUGCAAGGAGCUAUAAUGAUCUUUUUAAAAGAAAAGAAGCCAAAACACCCGUGAGGGGCUCAAAUGGAGGCGUCUCUCCCAUUUCUGAGCUGUGAGUCUGGAAGCCAGGAGGAGGGACCUCUCGAUCAGGACAAAACAUUGCAUUCUUACCCCACCCACCCCCGCUGACCAAACAGCGCCCAGGAGUGGAGAACUGGACGCCCGAGGCCUCGGACAGCACCCCAGGCCCACCCAUCCCUACAGAGCUGAUUUCCCUUCCUUCUCUGCACCCUUCCUGUGUGUUCUUCCUUUCUUCCCAGUGAAAGGAAGCAGAAGAAAACAGGACAAAACCGUUUGGACCAAAGUGAGAAAGCAUCUCUCACGGGCCUGUCGGACUGAGGCUGCUGGUCAACGCUAGUGAGAGGGAAAGAAAGGAAACCUACAAACUGCAAAGGCCGCGGGCAGGAGGCUGCUACACAGGAAGAUGAGGGAGAAAUCAAACUGCUAGGGAAGCAGAAGCAAUGGAAAACUAAUCAACGCCUAAGACACACACCCAAGGGAGAACAAAGAUUCAAACGAGGAGGUCUGGGCAGCAAACAGUGAAUGCAUGAAUUUUUAAAAUGAGGUGCAGUUGAAGACACAUGAAACACCUUCUAAACUUUCCUGACUUGGAGCACACUCGUCCCACCGUCCUGGCCGCUUCCUGCAACAGCUCUGGAGUCCUCUCUCCGGAGGGUCUUCAGCUGCACUGUCCUGGCUCCUCAGAUUUCCUUUUCAUGGUCACUGUGACUUUUCACAAGAGCUGGAAGCUGCAUGGUGUCAGAUCUGGUGGAUGAGGACUCAAUGUCAUGUUUUUCCUACUAUAAAUGUUUAGAAUCUAUUCAGGGCAUUGAGGCACAAAAAGACCCUCAGGAAGGAGGACACCAGAGCCGCUGCAGGAAGCGGCAAGGAUGAUGGGGUGACUGUGCCUGAAGCAAGGGGAAUAUUUUGAGCAGAAUUCAUGUCAAUGUGUCUUUUCCUGUAAUGCACUGAUUUUAUUUUUAGCAAACAUUGACUACGUUUUCUUUAUCGCAACCCGUAGAACAAAAAGGAUGAGUUUCAAAAGGAAAUUUGCCUGCAUGAAUGAGCAAGCCUUUUACGGCCCAAGUGCUUCAGAUCCACACACAAGGAUGUCUGCAUGGCCCUGAUUGCUGCCAAGGUCCUUCACAGAGGAGGAGAGCAGGUCUGGGGACAGUCAGGAGACUUUUCCACAGUCACGCAGUGGCACUUGGAGGUGGGACACAGACCCGGGCCCCUUCUAUCGCUGACAGCCCAAAAGCAAGGAGAAGAAUGAAGCCUGGAAUUAAAGGGCAGACAAGGCCUGAGGACCCCGGGGAGACUCUGUGUCUGGGUCUCAGUCCUGCAGGUGUCUGUAUCACUGGACCACUGCUCCAUGCCGGCCGCUCCUCAGCAGCUCCAUUGUCCACCCAUGGCAAUCCGUGAGCCUUAAUUUCCUCUUUUGCUUUCUGGAACCUGAGGUCAAAUUGGAGGUCAGGGAGGGUCUUCCGUCACUGCCUGGAAACUAAGACAACCCUAAGCCACAGUCCACAGAGGGCAGGAUGGCCUGCUCUCCGCUGAGGUUGGCAAGGGAUGACCCGUCCCUGGUCCCCUCAUCCUGUGCUGGACUUGUGCCCUUGGCAGGUGACUGGAUGGGGUGCCAUGCUCAUCAGAGGACCCAGCAUGGAUGAGUGCAAGGUCAAAAGUGCUGCAGGACGCAGGGCCUGGUUGGAGGAGGUCACUGGGGUCUGACCUGGAAGGGUGCGUUCUUGUCCCCAGCUCCUCCCUUUUCUUUCUGCUUCCUGGCCACCAUGAGGUGAGCAGCUUUCUUGGCCAGGCCCUGGCACCAUAAUGUUCCUGCCUCAGAGUGUCCAACCAUGGACCGAACCCUGUGCAACCGUGAGCCAGGUCAGUCUCUUCCUCUGUGAAGAUGUUGGGCAUUUCGUCCUGGUGAUGGGAGCAUGGCUGGGCUGCCUUUUGAUAGAAAUACACUGCUUACCCAUGGCUUUUCUUCUGGCCACCCAGCUACACGUCCCCAUCUCCGACAUGCUGUGACACCAUGGACACUCAAAUGGAACACCCUAACAUGCUCUGCGACCCCAGUGCUGAGGCUUCUGUGCUCCUUGUGACCCUCGCCGACAGCCUGGUGUCUGGAAAGCUCCAAGCCUAUUGUCCUGUGCCUGCCAGCCCUCUGAGGCCAGCGCCCAGCUUAGAGUCCAUUGGUACCACUUCUGUGACCCUGUGGCCAGAAAGGACAGCAGCAGGACAGGCACAUGGCAGUGAAGACCCUGGUUUGCUUCCAUCAGCAAACACCCCGGGCGCCAAGGAGCAGGCGGAGACAGCCUGGAGCUGCCGAUGCUCUCCAGGCUUUCACAGCCUGGAGGAGAAAGAAGUGGAGGUGCAGGAGGGUCGAGGGGCAGCACAGGGGCGACAAGGGGGACAGGGCAACAGGGGCCAGCAGCUGCUCCUCCCCCAGCCUGCAGUCAGAGGAAGGCUUCUUACUUUAACCCGCAGCUGAGCAGAGCCGGCCAUCAGCCCAGCCCCACAAUCUGCCAUGUGGCCAGCACUUGCUGUGAUCCAGGUGCCUUCCUGGCCGCCCACACCACACCCACGAUGCUGGUGACAGAGAGAAAGUGACUCAGAGCCUUGGCUGCUUUGCACAGAGCUUCUGAGAGGCGUCAGCUGAUGGCGGGGAAUCACUUGAGCCAGCGUGGUGGGACCCACCAGUCAGUGUCACCUAGAACUGGAGCCAAGGGACAUCAGACCCCAUACUCACCCUGUCCCUGAGCUGACUGCAGAGAUGAUUCUAGAACUGACCACGGGAGCCAGGUGUGGAGCUGCACGCCUGUCAUCCUGGUACCUGGGAGGCUGAGGCAGGAACUCACUGUGUAAUUCAGGCUAGUCUUAAACUCACUGUGUAGCCUAGGUUGCUGUUGAACUUGCGGAGAUCCUCCUGUCUCAGCCUCCCAAGUGCUGAGAUGACAGAUACAAGCUACCCACCUGGCUAUAAUUAAUUAAUUCUAAGCACCAAAACCAAUCACGUUUACAUGACCAUCGUACAAAUAUCUUCUACAAAUUAAUAUGCUCUGCCCCAGUGAGCUUUUAGAUUUUUUCCGGUGAUUUUUAAAAUGCGCUCAGUAUCCCUGUGGUCUCUCCUGUAUUUCCUGUGCUUGUGUUUUAGAGUUAGCUUUAGGGUAGAUUUGUUGAGACUGUGCAACUUCAGCUUCAUUAAGCAGUUCAAUUCUUUUUCCAAAAGAACCUCAGUGCUCGGCGGCUGAGGCAGGAGGAUCUCUGAAAGUUUGAGGCCAGCCAGAAAUACGUAGUGAGACCCUGUAUAAAAAACCAAACCAAAGCAAACCAAACUGGUGAUAUUCUUUCAGCCUCCAUCAGCCAUGUGAAUGAGCUGCUACACAUCUUAUGAAACCAUCUCACCAGACUUCAAUUUUUUGUUAGCAAGUGACGGGUAUCAAACGGUACCCUCCAGUGACCUGAGCUGCUAUCCAUCAUUCACUGACACCCACUUUGCCGCCACACAUUAAUUAGUUCAGUGCGUCUUCUGAGACACACUGGAGUGUUCUUUGUUCUUCUGUAUUUUUAAAACUUGGGUAGUUUUUGCUUUGGUCUCCUUAGAAAUUGACCUCUGUAUUCCAGGUACUUUGUGAGUCACGUGACCUCUGUGUUCCAGGUACUUUGUGAGUCACGUGACUUCUGCAUUCCAGAUACUUUGUGAGUCACGUGACCUCUGUAUUCCAGGUACUUUGUGAGUCACGUGUUGUGAGCACCUUCUGUGAAUCUAUGCCACAGCCUAGCGCUUGCAGCUGGGCCCGGGAGAGCGGCCUUGCUGCAGUGCUGCUGACCGGGUCGCCGUCCUGCAAUCCUGGAGGGAGGAGAGACCAGGAAGCAGGCCCAGGCGUGCUGUCUAAGCUUCCAUGUUAGCAUGUAAACUCCCACGGGGCACACUGAGUUUGCUGGGAGAGGAAGUAAAGAUCCGAUCUCAGAGCUCACCGCUGUCAGUCAUCCAGCCAGGCGGGAUCAACAGUCAUCUCUGACAGUAAGCCCUAUCACUAUCCAUCGGCCGUCCCUGUCCCUCAACCGUGGCCAGCCCUGACCGCACCCCCCUCCCCGCUCCGGGGUCUCUUUCCCAUAUGCAUUCUGGAAUCCUCUUGUUGAGUUCAGUGAAAAAUUUUGCGGGGGUUUCAAAAUUAGGAUUAUGCUCAGAAGGCUGAGGCAGGAGAAUUGCCGUAAAUUUGAGGCCAGCCUAGGUUACACAGAGUUCCAGACCAGCCUGGAUUACACAGCAGAAACAAAACAAAACACAAGAGUACAACAAACCCAUGCACCAUUUUUGAGAGAAUUAAUCAGGUCAGGAGAUCGAAACUUUCUCUCCAUGAGCAGGGCACAGCUCCAGGUCUCCUAAACAAUAGAUUUUAUUGUUCCCUACUGUUUAUUUCUAGGUUACCAUGUUCAUUUUUGCGUGGUUUUUUUUUUUUUUUUUUGGUAGUGAUCAUAAAUGGUAUUCAUUUCAAUUGAUAUUUUAGAACUUUUGGAUGCAUACUUGGCACAGAGAAAUGUAAUUCUUUAGUUUAAAAAAAUCUAGUAUCUUAGCAGCCUUAUUAAUUCUAAUGGCUGCUUUAUCUCUUGGUUCCACAUAGUGUCAUGGCAUUUGCCAAAGACAGACAGACAGACAGACAGACAGAGAGGGAGGGAGAGACAGAGAGUGAGGGACGGAGAAGGAGAGAGGAAGGGAGAAUGAACUGCACUCCGGAGCUGUUUUUCCCCGUUUUCCACACUUCCCCUCCAUUCUCUCGGCUGGCUGAAACCCUGUGUGUUAAUUCCUUACACUGUGAGAGUGAAAUCCUUCGCCUUCCGCUGGGUUUUAACAGUAAUUAACGUAAUGUCUCACACCAUUAAGUAAUAUGAGACCUAUAGGUUUUCUUUCUUAAGGAUCUUUAUUACAGUAAAAAGAUUUUAUUGUGUGCUGAAUUUCUUUUCCUUUUUAAAAAAAUUUUAAGUAGGUGUUAUAUUUUAUCCUACGCUUUAGAACAUCUGUGAAAUCACUGGAUUCUUUUUCUGUGCUAAUGUGCUUAGUCAUAUUAGCAGAACUUCUCCUUGGGCAGGAGAAAUUAAAGGCUUUUUUAAAAUUUUGUUUUUGUUUUUUGGGACAGUGUCUGUCUGGGCAGUUCCGGCCAGCCUUGAACUCACUGUGCAGCCAGGGCUGGACUUGGAUCCUCCUGCCUCAGCCUCCUGAGUGCUGGGAUCACAGGUGUGCGCCACCAGGCCCAGUUUAAAUGCUUUUUAAAAAAUUUAAGAUCUACUUUGUAACCAACACUCUUCUGCUGAAACCUGUGGCUUCCCAGCCCAGGAAGAGGACAGCGAUGGCCCCAGGAAUCUGGGGGUCCUGGGCUGCAACUCAGAGAAACAGUGCGUCUCUGCCGAGUGCCUGCAGGACUUCUAUGAGCCCACACCCUCGGCCCAUCAUUUUAAGCCAAAGCUCAGUCCUGUGGGAACCAUGGUAUCAGGCAGGGAGCCCUCAGAGACAGAAUCACAGGUCUACCUGUCCUCUGUCCAUCCCCUUACUUUCUCAGCGGCAACUCAGUUUUUCCUGACCAGCCACAGCAUGAAUAGCUUACUGAAAAAUGUUUGUUGAAUGACCGAAUGAGUGAAUUCACAUUAGCUCUGUGCUCAGACUGCAGGUACAGAACUUUAAGAAUACAGAGGAACCCUUUUUUUCCUCCAUCAUUUGAAAAUCAAGCUUGGGAGUAUUUUUAACCAUGAAAACGUGAUUUUCUUCUGCCUGGCCCACAGUGCUGCCUGCCCCCAGCUCAGCUGGCCCCACCAUGGGUCCUCACAGACCCCUCUACCCCUAGUGCCAUAAGCCCCAGUGUGACCGAUGCCACUGGCAGAGCAGUGCCCUCCCCCAUCUCCAGGAUCAGAAGCUGUUUUUCAGGCCGAGGAAAACUCUUUCAAAUAUCAAAUGCUUCCCUACCAGACUCACAAAAUAAAGGCAACGACUCCAAGCAGCUCAGAUGUGAUGAGAGGCUGUAAAAAUCACACCAGGAAAUUUCCAGGGCUUGGUUCACACCAACUAGGUGCACAGAGAACUUCUGCAAAAGCUCAUUAUAAUGUAAAUUUAGCUGAGCACAGUGGUGAAUACCUGGAGUACCAUCCUUCAGGAGGCUGAGGCAAGAGGAUUUCUGUGCCUUUAAGGCCAGCCUGGGCUUCACAGCAAGUUCAAGGUCAGCCUGAACUACAAAAGGAGACCCUGUCUCAAACAAGCAAGCAGAAAACAAACAAACAAACAAACGUAAAUGUAGACUUGAAGCACCCUGGAUCUUUGGAAAUCACCCCAGUUCCAAGUAUAAGGAACUCUCCUGGCAGAUGCUGUCAGAGUUUGUGUUUCUCAUUUCUCCUCCUGCACCCACCAACUCUGGCUUGCAGGCAGGCCAUGCACUCCUGGAGGUCCCUGCCUGCUGCCCUGUGCCAGCGUGUGGGCCGCCUAACUGAGAUUCAGCCUGACCAGCUGCGGGGCUGUUUUGCCGUAUAAUAUAAGAACAUGAUUAUAAUACAGCAGACUGAAAGGUAUUUCAUGGUGCAGAUUUUGGAAAGCAAUUAGACAUCUCCAAACAAGUUUCUGCUGAAUUCCACUGACCUUGACGGUGUCUGCAGCCCAGCUGGGCACCUCUGAGGAGCACUGAGUCAGAGGCAUCUUCUGCACCUUAGGGCACCACCCAGUGGCCAAGGACACCUGUACCCAUGCCCUUCACCUCGUGCUGGAGUGCUUCAGUGUUAUGAUAAUCAACUCCUUUGUUUCCAUAAAUCUGUUCAAGACUAGCCUGCCUGUCAGUAUAGGACUCAGUGCAGGUAACCAAUUCUGUAAUAUUCUGUCUCUUGCUCUGUACCUCUCCCUUCUAAAUGCUAUCCAAACUGAGCUCUGCAAACUCAGUGCUGUUGCCUUUGGGAAUUAUCCUGCUGUAACAGUUCGCUGGGUGAAGAUGGAGCCGUCCUGUCCUACGGUGUAAGGAUUAAACACUGCUGCUGCCUUCUCGUCUCCUUUGAGUCUCACUUGGGGAUUUUCCUGCCACAUUUCCCCACAAGUCCUGGUGCCUGGGCUCCAUCCUGAGCCCACCCCGGACAAUGCCGAAUCGAGGCUCUAGGUGUCUGCACCACAGAGAGGAGACAAGAUCCCCCCUGCCCCCCUGUACUCCAGGUGGCCGUUUCCAUCUGGAUUCGCCCUUGCCAACCUGUUUGCUAGACCCACAGGUUACAGGGCUGCUGAGGCACAAGGGCUUGAUGAACAGUAACUAAGCCUUCAAAACUCAACCACCUCUCAGCUGGGUGUGGUGAUGCACACCUGUAACCCCAGCACUGUGGGAGGCUGAGGCAGAAGGAUUUCAAGUUUAAACCCAGCCUGGGCAACUUAGUUAGCCAGAUACUAGUUUAAAAAUAAAAAAUAAAGGGCUCGGGACGCAACUUACUGUGAAGGCCCCGGGUUCCAUCCCCCAGGGGUGGGGAGAAAAGCAAGCAAGCAACCCAGCUUUGCCCUCCCGAUGUGCCCCCCCUCUUCUGGGGGAACAACUGCCUCCACCACAAAUCUGAGCAUUUAGCAGGAAACUGUCAAGGAGGAUCCAGUUAAAUUAGCAUAAACGCAAAUUAGCAAUUACCAGCUGUCAAGUCACAGCAGAGGCCCAGGAAUUUCGACAACUAUCAAGACAUCAUUUAAAAAUAUUUAAUUCCACUCAUCCCAUUCCAACUGGGGAUGGAUUGCAUCUGCUCGGAGGGUGCGCUCUUGAGGGGGGAAACUGAAGAUGCCAGAAGGCACUUAAUUUCCGCCCACCUGAUGCCCCAAUCACGAGCUGUGUAGACGGGGAGGGGCGUGUUCCUGCGCACCCGUUCCCUGACAGCCUGCUCAGUCACCUGAAGAAGCCACAGGGCUUCUCACUGUGCGACUUGGACAGCCUGCACCACGUGUGUGAGAUGUGCUUGGAAUUACAGAGCAUUUUUCUAGCUCUCAAGAGACAGUAGGCAUUUUAAUUAAACAGAUGAAAUUUAAAAUCCAUCACUUAAACUUUGCAGAGAAUUAAUCACUUCAGCCUUCCUAGCAUUUUGCUUCAAAUGUCUCAAGAUCUUAAACUUCUGAAAGAGGACUCCAGAAACAAGCAGGACAAGCAAUGACGAGCAGCCUGUACUCUAAGGAAGAGGAGAUUGCUCUCACGGGGAUUCCCUGAAUCCCUGAGGACACUCCCAGAUCCUUCUCUUUCCCCAAAACCCUCCCCUCAAUGGCCAUAUACAAGGACCCUUCUCUCUGGUGCCCAAUCCCAGCAUCCCCCUCUCUGAUGCCCAAUCCCAGCAUCCCCCUCUCUGAUGUCCAAUCCCAGCAUCCCCCUCUCUGGUGUCCAAUCCCAGCAUCCCUCUCUCUGAUGCUCACUCUUUCUGGUGGUACAUUUUCAGGAUCCCUUUCUGAUGGGCAUGCUCAGAAUGUCUCUGUUUGAUGUGUUUCCAGAGUCCCUCUCCCUGACGUGAGUUGCCAGUCUGACCAGUGUUCCCAGCAUGUGUCUUUGAUUUCUCAGGACCCCUCUACCCAAGAGUAUAUUCCCAAGAUCCCCAGGUCUUUUUCAUUCUAUUGUGAUGCUGGGGAGUUGAGCCCAGGCCCCACACCUGUUAGGUAAGCGCUCUACCAUUGGGUUACACCCCCAAACCCAAGAUCUCUGUACCUCAGCAUCUUCCUGCCACCCUCUCUGCCACUGUGUUCCCAGCAUUCCUAUGUCUGAUGGGCAUUUCUAGGACAUCUUUCUUAUGAGUUCUCCCAGGAUUCCUCUCUCUCUGAUGUUAUUUUCCAAGAUCCCUCCUUCUCUGAUGUUGUUUUCCAUGAUCCCUCCUCUGAUGUUAUUUCUCAUGGUUCUUUUUAAUGUCACUUUUCAGGAGUCCGCUUGCUGUAAUUCCAUGUUCCCAGGAUCCCUCUUUGUGAUGUCAUUGCCUAGGAUUCCUUUCUCUCUGAUGUCACUUCCCAGGACCCCUCCCUCUGUUUUUCUGUCAUCAGGAGGCUUCCCCCAGUCCUACCGUGACAUUGCCAGCCUCACAUGUGUACCGGCCUCUUCUGUUCCCCACCACGAGUAACAGGCACUCACUCUGCCUCUCAGGCCGAGCAGCCUCCAAGCGAUGGCAAAACCUGUGCAUGCCCCAGAGAGCCCUGAGAAUGCGCCGGAGCUGGUGCCGCAGGAGCGCAGAGGCUGCAGGAGGCUUGAGAUCUAAUGCCACAGCCUCUGCCACCUCCCAGCCGCAGUGCUCCAAGUCCCAGGGGACAGUGAGCUGGCACUGUUGUCCCCAUUUUGCAGCUAGAGAAACUGAGGACCGGGAUGCCUGACACUGACUUUGGGAGUAAAGCCCAAAGGUGAAAACAGCAGCUGCUGCAGGGCUGCCCUGAAACCAAAGACCAAGCUUUACACUGCGACCUGAGGAAGCUGCAGAAGGUGGCUGCUAGGGGCACCGACAAGGGGCGGCUGGAGGGACCGGGCCACAGAGCUGUCCCUUGUCCUGACUGCGAGGUGGAGAAGGGACUGCAGGCUCCAUUGUCCCUGCGAUGGGAGAGUGACUGAGAAUCAGACUUUAUGAUUUCUCAACCAGGAAGCGAAGGACACAGAACUGUGCCCUCCCUCACCCUCUCCAGACAUGGAACCCCACACGCUACCCACCCGCAGAGGACCGACUCCCCCAUGCUGAGCUCUGCGGGUGCCUGGCUCCUCCUGCCUGUCCCCACGCCCAGGCACAAAGCCUCCUGGCCCAGCCCCAGCAUCACCCUCACUGGCAAACAAGAGCCUGGCGUUUGUACAAUGCUUUUGUUGAAGCCAGAGUGCUGACCACAGAUGGAAGAAGUGUGGGUUUCACACAGACCAGCCCCGAGUCCACGGAUGCACACUCGGGAGGUCAGACCCAUGGCCUGGCCGGGCAACAAAGUUCCUAUGGGAAAAUGAGCCCAUGUUCCGGUGGUCAGAGUCCCACAGAAUCCCUCCAAGGCUCUGUUUAUUGUUUAAAAGCGCAUCCACUUGGCAUUCUGUGCGGGCCGCUGAGGUGUGGGCUGAGGGAUCCCCACAGAGCACACAGGCGGCCCUUUGACAGACCCCACCACUAAUCAACUGUGCAAAUGUUGUAUUGCAAACUUGGACAGACUCAGGUAGGGCCAGCUCCAUGCCAGGUGACAGUACCAUGCUCCGAGCUCUGUGCACAGUGACCUGCGCCCUGGAAGAUGGGGGGGGGUAAAGGGUUGGGGCAGCAGGAUGGGGGCAGAGCUGCCCACAGCAUGUGCAAAUGUCCCGAGGCAGAGAAAAAAGCAGUCAGCGUGGCCCAGUGGGCAGACAGCAAGGGGAGGCCAGUGGCAGGGAUGAGAAGAAGGAGUUGGUGGGAGCUACCAAACCCUUUUCUCCUUUCAGAAAACCAAGAGUCAGCUGCA
This is a long non-coding RNA of Cavia porcellus (domestic guinea pig), 11511 nucleotides long. RefSeq lists it as uncharacterized. Lineage: Eukaryota; Metazoa; Chordata; Mammalia; Rodentia; Caviidae. The transcript is spliced from 2 exons. The record is from RefSeq and is a predicted model, not a curated record.